This 465-nucleotide ribosomal RNA is filed under the name uncultured bacterium. Its description in RNAcentral is "partial 16S ribosomal RNA". It matches the Rfam family "Bacterial small subunit ribosomal RNA", at positions 28 to 507 of the family's 1533-position model. The record is from RNAcentral.
GACGAACGCUGGCGGCGCGCCUAACACAUGCAAGUCGAACGAGCGAGCGGGAGCUUGCUUUCUCGAGCGAGUGGCGAACGGGUGAGUAACGCGUGAGGAACCUGCCUCAAAGAGGGGGACAACAGUUGGAAACGACUGCUAAUACCGCAUAAGCCCACGGUGCCGCAUGGCACAGAGGGAAAAGGAGCAAUCCGCUUUGAGAUGGCCUCGCGUCCGAUUAGCUAGUUGGUGAGGUAAUGGCCCACCAAGGCGACGAUCGGUAGCCGGACUGAGCGGUUGAACCGCCACAUUGGGAAUGAGACACGGGCCAGACUUCCACGGGAGGCAGCAGUGGGGAUAUUGCAAAACGGGGGAAACCCUGAUGCAGCGACGCCGGGUGGAGGAAGAAGGUCUUGGGAAUGUAAACUCCUGUUGUUUGGGAAGAUAAUGACGGUACCCAACAAGGAAGUGACGGCUAACUACGUG